RNAcentral lists this transfer RNA (57 nucleotides) under Phyllodactylus muralis isthmus. RNAcentral describes it as "partial tRNA-His". The record is from RNAcentral. Lineage: Eukaryota; Metazoa; Chordata; Lepidosauria; Squamata; Phyllodactylidae.
CGGGUGAAUAUAGUUUAACCAAAAAUACUAAACUGUGGACUUAGAGAUAAGAGCUAC